UUGGUUUCACCCGAAGAUCGUGCGCUAACCUUUYAGGAGGCAGCGAGCCACGGUGGGAUCAGCGACUGGGGUGAAGUCGUAACAAGGUAGCCGUAGGUGAACCUGCAGAAGGAUCA
RNAcentral lists this ribosomal RNA (116 nucleotides) under uncultured eukaryote. RNAcentral's name for it is "partial small subunit ribosomal RNA". The record is from RNAcentral.